RNAcentral lists this ribosomal RNA (1308 nucleotides) under Apilactobacillus kunkeei. RNAcentral describes it as "bacterial SSU rRNA". It matches the Rfam family "Bacterial small subunit ribosomal RNA", at positions 111 to 1406 of the family's 1533-position model. Lineage: Bacteria; Bacillati; Bacillota; Bacilli; Lactobacillales; Lactobacillaceae. The record is from RNAcentral.
UAACACGUGGGUAACCUGCCCCGAAGCGGGGGAUAACAUUUGGAAACAAGUGCUAAUACCGCAUAAUUAGUUGGAACCGCAUGGUUCCAACUUGAAAGAUGGCUCUGCUAUCACUUUGGGAUGGACCCGCGCCGUAUUAGUUAGUUGGUGAGAUAAAAGCCCACCAAGACGAUGAUACGUAGCCGACCUGAGAGGGUAAUCGGCCACAUUGGGACUGAGACACGGCCCAGACUCCUACGGGAGGCAGCAGUAGGGAAUCUUCCACAAUGGACGAAAGUCUGAUGGAGCAACGCCGCGUGAGUGAUGAAGGUUUUCGGAUCGUAAAACUCUGUUGUUAAAGAAGAACAAGUGUUAGAGUAACUGUUAACACUUUGACGGUAUUUAACCAGAAAGCCACGGCUAACUACGUGCCAGCAGCCGCGGUAAUACGUAGGUGGCAAGCGUUGUCCGGAUUUAUUGGGCGUAAAGCGAGCGCAGGCGGUUUUGUAAGUCUGCUGUGAAAGCCCUCAGCUCAACUGAGGAAGUGCAGUGGAAACUACAAAACUUGAGUACAGAAGAGGAAAGUGGAACUCCAUGUGUAGCGGUGAAAUGCGUAGAUAUAUGGAAGAACACCAGUGGCGAAGGCGGCUUUCUGGUCUGUUACUGACGCUGAGGCUCGAAAGCAUGGGUAGCGAACAGGAUUAGAUACCCUGGUAGUCCAUGCCGUAAACGAUGAAUACUAGGUGUUGGAGGGUUUCCGCCCUUCAGUGCCGCAGCUAACGCAUUAAGUAUUCCGCCUGGGGAGUACGACCGCAAGGUUGAAACUCAAAGGAAUUGACGGGGGCCCGCACAAGUGGUGGAGCAUGUGGUUUAAUUCGAUGCUACGCGAAGAACCUUACCAGCUCUUGACAUCUUCUGCCAACCCAAGAGAUUGGGCGUUCCCUUCGGGGACAGAAUGACAGGUGGUGCAUGGUUGUCGUCAGCUCGUGUCGUGAGAUGUUGGGUUAAGUCCCGCAACGAGCGCAACCCUUAUUAUUAGUUGCCAGCAUUUAGUUGGGCACUCUAGUGAGACUGCCGGUGAUAAACCGGAGGAAGGUGGGGACGACGUCAAAUCAUCAUGCCCCUUAUGAGCUGGGCUACACACGUGCUACAAUGGAUGGUACAACGAGUCGCGAAACCGCGAGGUCAAGCUAAUCUCUUAAAGCCAUUCUCAGUUCGGAUUGCAGGCUGCAACUCGCCUGCAUGAAGUUGGAAUCACUAGUAAUCGUGGAUCAGCAUGCCACGGUGAAUACGUUCCCGGGCCUUGUACACACCGCCCGUCACACCAUG